Molecule: long non-coding RNA, 728 nt
Organism: Toxorhynchites rutilus septentrionalis
Lineage: Eukaryota; Metazoa; Arthropoda; Insecta; Diptera; Culicidae
Exons: 2
Source: RefSeq, a predicted model, not a curated record
AAUCACAUUCUAAUGCUGUAUUUAUUGAAGGGAAUUAUUUUUUCGAUAGUAAAUAUUCCGGAGCAGCAGUUCUGUAAUUAAUUUUUAAUAUUUUCGUAACUGUCCCAUGGUUGCAUAUAUAGCGUAUCGGCAUUUAACCUUGUCAUUAAUUCUCCCCUCUCGCUCUGAUUCCUCAACGCGAGAGCGAAGCGUUGGUUUCUCGCGUAGAUAUUUGCCGCUGGAGCGCGUUUGUUAUAAAUACGCGCAACUUGCCGGCAGAUGCUGCGUUUUCAUCACAUCUUCAAUUUCGCUAAGUUGAAAAGUCCGUGCAUAUUUGUCAUUCAGCUGCAAAAAAGCUUGUAUCAGCAAUUAAUUUGUCUUCGAAACUAAACCAACAAUGCAACUGUCCAUCCACGGCGUCAUCCUUUCCCGAACCGACCAAAUUUGUUGUCUAGAACUGACGCGCUAAGCGUUUUGUUUCUGGCAACAAAUUUAAUAGAAAUUACAGUGGUUAAGUUGUAUUGCGAAGGAGGAGAGUAGAGUUCUGCGAAUCGGCGUCGAAAUGCUCCAGCGUGAUGUGAUGUUUCCGCUAACCGGCCAACUGGAAAUCUGGGACGAUGCUGUCGUCGUUUCCGGGACUUUCAGUUGCCACCAUCCCAGUGAUCACUAUUAGCCCAAUGGUGAAUGUUAGAUUUAAGCAGACUAAUUGCAUUGUAUUUUAUGACACAAUAAAACAUGACGAAAGUUAA